GAUAAUUAUGUAGGAAUUUCAAAUAUAGAUAGCGGUUCAGAGAAGACUUUAAAUAUGUACUUUGAGGAGCUAGCUAUGAAGCAUCAUAGACAAUCUUUAGUUCAAGCUUCUUCUGUUGAUAUUGACCAAUGGAAAGGCCAUUCACUUGGGGUUGAUCAGUGUCGAAUGAAGAUGGGCUUGCUUCUUACUGGUGUGGGGGACAAGCUAUCAUGGUAGGUUAUGCGUCUCUGGUCAUUAGAAACAUACAAUUGUAUGGAAGAAUAUUCAAUCCAAGAUGCAAGCCCCUUAAUUGACUUUGAUUUUGAUGAGAGGAAGAUUGUUGGUUUGGUUGGCACACGAAUAUGCUUAUGGAGGCGAAAUGGGAAGAUAAGUACAUUUCCCUCUCGUGAAGGCACGUUUAUGAAGGGUUUAUGCAUGCGGUACAGAAGCAAAUUUUCUUAUUAUGCUAAUCUUUCUUGGAGCAAUACUGGAUUUUAUAUCAUUAGGUCUGUACAGCUAAAAUUUUCUUGUUUGUUAUUCAUCAACCCUCUCUAGAGCCCACACAAACAUCGGAUGUUUUGUGCAUUAGAUCAUCGGAUGCUAAAUUCUAUUACUCGAGUGACAAUACAAGAGAAGAUGGUCAGACAAUUAAUUCUUGGAAAGCAAUUUCAAUUUCUAGAAAAAUGGAUAGACUAUUAGACACUGGCUAGUGAAUAAAUUGUUUAAUAAAAAAAUGCCUGUGAAAUCGAAGGCAGUAGACCGUAUGUGAUUCGGAAACUGAAAGGUGAGUUAUCUAAAUACUAUCUCAAUCCAAGUUCAUAAUUAGCUAAA
This is a non-coding RNA of Jatropha curcas, 810 nucleotides long. NCBI's taxonomy places the organism in Eukaryota, Viridiplantae, Streptophyta, Magnoliopsida, Malpighiales, Euphorbiaceae. The record is from RefSeq and is a predicted model, not a curated record.